AACGAACGCUGGCGGCGUGCCUAACACAUGCAAGUCGUGGGAGAAAGUGACCUUCGGGUCGCGAGUAAACCGGCGCACGGGUGAGUAACACGUAGGUAACGUACCAUCGAACCUGGGAUAACCAGUCGAAAGAUUGGCUAAUACCGGAUACGACCGCGAGGACUUCGGCCCUUUCGGUGAAAGGCGGCCUCUGCUUGCAAGCUGUCAUUCGAUGCGCGGCCUGCGCACCAUUAGCAGUUGGUGAGGUAACGGCUCACCAAGGCUGAGAUGGUUAGCUGGUCUGAGAGGAUGGCCAGCCACACUGGGACUGAGACACGGCCCAGACUCCUACGGGAGGCAGCAGUGGGGAAUAUUGCGCAAUGGGCGAAAGCCUGACGCAGCGACGCCGCGUGGGUGAUGAAGGCCUUC
This 408-nucleotide ribosomal RNA is filed under the name uncultured bacterium. Its description in RNAcentral is "bacterial SSU rRNA". It matches the Rfam family "Bacterial small subunit ribosomal RNA", at positions 29 to 419 of the family's 1533-position model. The record is from RNAcentral.